UGCCCAUCAGAGGGGGAGUAACAUCCGGAAACGGAUGCUAAAACCGCAUAGGUCUUCGAACCGCAUGGUUUGAAGAGGAAAAGAGGCGCAAGCUUCUGCUGAUGGAUGGACCCGCGGUGCAUUAGCUAGUUGGUGAGGUAACGGCUCACCAAGGCCGUGAUGCAUAGCCGACCUGAGAGGGUGAUCGGCCACAUUGGGACUGAGACACGGCCCAA
This 215-nucleotide ribosomal RNA is filed under the name uncultured Carnobacteriaceae bacterium. RNAcentral describes it as "partial 16S ribosomal RNA". It matches the Rfam family "Bacterial small subunit ribosomal RNA", at positions 127 to 334 of the family's 1533-position model. Lineage: Bacteria; Bacillati; Bacillota; Bacilli; Lactobacillales; Carnobacteriaceae. The record is from RNAcentral.